This 870-nucleotide ribosomal RNA is filed under the name uncultured organism. Its description in RNAcentral is "bacterial SSU rRNA". It matches the Rfam family "Bacterial small subunit ribosomal RNA", at positions 59 to 965 of the family's 1533-position model. The record is from RNAcentral.
AAGUCACGGGGGCCGCAAGGCAACCGGCGAACGGCUUAGUAACACGUGGGUACAUACCCCAAACUGGAGCAUAGCUCGUCGAAAGACGGGGUAAUUCUCCAUAAUCCCGCAAGGGUAAAGGCGCAAGCCGAUUUGGGAAUGGCCUACGGCCUAUCAGAUUGUUGGUGAGGUAAAGGCUCACCAAGUCUAUGACGGGUAGGGGGCGUGAGAGCGCGACCCCCAAGAAUGGCACUGCGACACGGGCCAUACUCCUACGGGAGGCUGCAGUCGAGAAUCUUCCGCAAUGGACGAAAGUCUGACGGAGCGACGUUACGUGAAUGAUGACGCCCUUAGGGGUGUAAAGUUCUUUUAUCUGGGAGGAAGCCGCAAGGCAGACAGUACCAGAUGAAUAAGGGGAUCCUAAUUCUGUGCCAGCAGGAGCGGUAAUACAGAAUCCUCAAGCGUUACCCGGAUUUAUUGGGCGUAAAGGGUCCGUAGGUGGUAUAGUAAGUUGAAAGUUAAAACUCAUCGGCUUAACCUUUGAGGUGCUUUCAAUACUGCUACACUAGAGGAUGUUAGGGGUGAACGGAACCGACGGAGUAGGGGUGAAAUCCGUUGAUAUCGUCGGGAACACCAAAAGCGAAGGCAGUUCACUAGGACAAUCCUGACACUGAGGGACGAAAGCGUGGGGAGCAAAAAGGAUUAGAUACCCUUGUAGUCCACGCUGUAAACGAUGGAUACUGGCUAUAUGAAGUGUCGACCCUUCAUGUGGCGAAGCUAACGCGUUAAGUAUCCCGCCUGGGAAGUACGGUCGCAAGACUAAAACUCAAAGGAAUAGACGGGGACUCACACAAGCGGUGGACCAUGUGGCUUAAUUCGACAACAAGCGAA